Molecule: ribosomal RNA, 422 nt
Filed under: uncultured bacterium
Lineage: Bacteria
Description: partial 16S ribosomal RNA
Rfam family: Bacterial small subunit ribosomal RNA
Source: RNAcentral
AAUAUUGGACAAUGGGGGCAACCCUGAUCCAGCCAUGCCGCGUGUGUGAAGAAGGUCUUCGGAUUGUAAAGCACUUUAAGUUGGGAGGAAGGGCUUUAGGCUAAUACCCUGAAGUUUGGACGUUACCAACAGAAUAAGCACCGGCUAACUACGGGCCAGCAGCCGCGGUAAUACGUAGGGUGCGAGCGUUGUCCGGAAUUACUGGGCGUAAAGGGCUCGUAGGUGGUUCAGUAAGAUGGGUGUGAAAUCCCCGGGCUUAACCUGGGAACUGCUUUCAUAACUGCUGAGCUAGAGUACGGUAGGGGGUAGUGGAAUUUCCUGUGUCGCGGUGAAAUGCGUAGAUAUAGGAAGGCACACCAGUGGCGAAGGCGACUUUCUGGCCUGAAACUGACGCUGAGGCGCGAAAGCGUGGGGCGCAAACA